AGAGUUUGAUCAUGGCUCAGGAUGAACGCUAGCGGCAGGCCUAACACAUGCAAGUCGAACGGUAAGGCCCAGCUUGCUGGGUACACGAGUGGCGCACGGGUGAGUAACGCGUAUGCAACCUGCCUCGAACAGGGGGAUAGCCCCGAGAAAUUGGGAUUAAUACCCCAUAACGCAUCGGAGCCGCAUGGCUCUGUUGCUAAAGUCCCGGCGGUUCGAGAUGGGCAUGCGUGGCAUUAGCUAGUUGGUGGGGUAACGGCUCACCAAGGCGUCGAUGCCUAGGGGUUCUGAGAGGACAGCCCCCCACACUGGUACUGAGACACGGACCAGACUCCUACGGGAGGCAGCAGUGAGGAAUAUUGGUCAAUGGGUGAGAGCCUGAACCAGCCAUGCCGCGUGCAGGAUUGACGGCCCUAUGGGUUGUAAACUGCUUUUCCUGGGGAAGAACACCCCCGACGUGUCGGGGAUUGACGGUACCCGGGGAAUAAGCACCGGCUAACUCCGUGCCAGCAGCCGCGGUAAUACGGAGGGUGCAAGCGUUAUCCGGAUUUAUUGGGUUUAAAGGGUGCGUAGGCGGGCUGCCNAGUCAGUGGUGAAAUCCCGCAGCUCAACUG
This 611-nucleotide ribosomal RNA is filed under the name uncultured Bacteroidota bacterium. Its description in RNAcentral is "bacterial SSU rRNA". It matches the Rfam family "Bacterial small subunit ribosomal RNA", at positions 8 to 615 of the family's 1533-position model. The record is from RNAcentral. Lineage: Bacteria; Pseudomonadati; Bacteroidota.